Molecule: ribosomal RNA, 357 nt
Filed under: Triticum aestivum (bread wheat)
Lineage: Eukaryota; Viridiplantae; Streptophyta; Magnoliopsida; Poales; Poaceae
Description: partial small subunit ribosomal RNA
Source: RNAcentral
AUGACUCCCUCCAGAGCCAUCGGCCAUCGAAGACUCCCUCAACCUGUUGGCCAAGGGGUUUGGCUGCUGUGCUGGGGUCCUGGGGACUUCAAGAUGGCCAUCCUGGCGACCUACUUUGACAUCGGGAAGCAGACGCACCGCAGCCUCGAUGAUGAGCAUGAACCUCGAGGUGAUUGGAGCACUGCGCCGCCGUGCUCAUGCUCGAGUCUCGCUUCCCCGCCAGUGCGCACCCCGGCGCCGACGACGGCGACGUCACCAGGCGCGGAGGGCCGCGUCUUCCACAACGACUCGUCCUCGUCCUGCUGCCGCUGCGGUCCGAAAGUGAAUGGCAGGACAUGCACGAGGGACACACAGUGA